AUGGUGGGUAUGAGUUUACUAGUGACUGAUGAGGAGACUUUGGCUCUUAUUACACGUGACGAACACGGUGGAGACGAUUCUGAUCAUGACACGCAAUACAUGGCUCCUGAAGAUGCUGACAGGUAUGAAUGUUUAGUUGCUCAACGUGUUUUGAGUGUGCAGCUUACACAAGCUGAGCAAAAUCAGAGGCAUAAUUUGUUCCAUACAAAGGGAGUUGUGAAGGAACGUUCUGUUCGUGUGAUCAUAGAUGGAGGGAGCUGCAAUAACUUGGCUAGCAUGGAGAUGGUGGAGAAGCUAUCUCUCACCACAAGACCACAUCCACAUCCUUACUACAUCCAAUGGUUCAACAACAGCGGCAAGGUUAAGGUAACACGUACUGUUCAUGUGCAUUUUAGUAUCUCUACAUAUGCUGAUUAUGUUGAUUGUGAUGUGGUACCUAUGCAAGCAUGUUCCUUAUUACUUGGUAGACCAUGGCAAUUUGAUAAAAAUUAUGUACACCAUGGUAGAAACAAUCAGUAUACUCUUGUUCAUAACGAUAAAAAUAUUACUUUGCUUCCUAUGACUCCUGAUUCCAUUUUGAAAGAUGAUAUUAAUAGAGCUAAUAAAGCAAAACAGGAGACAAAUAAGAGUGAAAAUCAGAUUGUGGCAAAAGAAUUUGAGCACCAAAUGAAGUCUAAUAAUAAACCAUCUACUGUUGUUUCUCAAAUUAAAUUGAAAAGUGCAUGUUUACUUGCCACCAAAUCUGAUAUUGAUGAGCUAGAUUUCAGCAAAUCUGUUUGCUAUGCCUUUGUGUGCAAAGAGGCAUUAUUUUCAUUCAAGGACGUGCCUUCCUCUUUGCCCCCUGCUGUCACUAACAUUUUGCAGGAGUUCGCUGACGUCUUUCCACAAGACGUGCCACCGGGAUUACCACCUAUUCGAGGGAUUGAGCAUCAAAUUGACUUAAUUCCCGGUGCUUCGCUACCCAACCGUGCACCAUACCGUACAAAUCCAGAGGAGACGAAGGAGAUUAUGCGUCAAGUACAAGAACUGCUUGACAAAGGUUAUAUACGCGAAUCCCUUAGUCCUUGUGCUGUUCCUAUAAUUUUAGUGCCGAAAAAGGAUGGUACGUCGCGUAUGUGCGUUGAUUGUAGAGGCAUAAAUAAUAUUACUAUUCGUUAUCGUCAUCCUAUUCCUAGGCUCGAUGAUAUGCUUGAUGAAUUGAGUGGCUCUACAAUAUUCUCCAAAGUUGAUUUGCAUAGUGGAUACCAUCAAAUUCGUAUGAAAUUGGGAGAUGAAUGGAAAACAGCAUUUAAAACUAAGUUUGGAUUAUAUGAGUGGUUAGUCAUGCCUUUUGGGUUAACUAAUGCACCUAGUACUUUCAUGAGGUUAAUGAACGAAGUUUUACGUGCUUUCAUUGGACGAUUUGUGGUAGUUUACUUUGAUGACAUAUUGAUUUAUAGCAAAUCUUUGGAGGAACAUUUGGAACAUUUACGUGAUGUUUUUAUUGCUCUACGUGAUGCACGUUUGUUGGAAACCUUGGAAAGUGCACCUUUUGCACCGACCGAGUAUCUUUUCUUGGCUAUGUUGUUACUCCACAGGGAAUUGAAGUUGAUAAAGCCAAGAUUGAAGCUAUUGAGAGUUGGCCGCAGCCCAAAAUGGUCACACAAGUGA
Molecule: ribosomal RNA, 1650 nt
Filed under: Triticum aestivum (bread wheat)
Lineage: Eukaryota; Viridiplantae; Streptophyta; Magnoliopsida; Poales; Poaceae
Description: partial small subunit ribosomal RNA
Source: RNAcentral